RNAcentral lists this ribosomal RNA (798 nucleotides) under Chryseobacterium polytrichastri. RNAcentral describes it as "bacterial SSU rRNA". It matches the Rfam family "Bacterial small subunit ribosomal RNA", at positions 94 to 894 of the family's 1533-position model. The record is from RNAcentral. Lineage: Bacteria; Pseudomonadati; Bacteroidota; Flavobacteriia; Flavobacteriales; Weeksellaceae.
AGCGGCGUACGGGUGCGGAACACGUGUGCAACCUGCCUUUAUCUGGGGGAUAGCCUUUCGAAAGGAAGAUUAAUACCCCAUAAUAUAUUGAUUGGCAUCAAUUGAUAUUGAAAACUCCGGUGGAUAGAGAUGGGCACGCGCAAGAUUAGAUAGUUGGUGAGGUAACGGCUCACCAAGUCAGUGAUCUUUAGGGGGCCUGAGAGGGUGAUCCCCCACACUGGUACUGAGACACGGACCAGACUCCUACGGGAGGCAGCAGUGAGGAAUAUUGGACAAUGGGUGAGAGCCUGAUCCAGCCAUCCCGCGUGAAGGACGACGGCCCUAUGGGUUGUAAACUUCUUUUGUAUAGGGAUAAACCUUUCCACGUGUGGAAAGCUGAAGGUACUAUACGAAUAAGCACCGGCUAACUCCGUGCCAGCAGCCGCGGUAAUACGGAGGGUGCAAGCGUUAUCCGGAUUUAUUGGGUUUAAAGGGUCCGUAGGCGGGCUCGUAAGUCAGUGGUGAAAUCUCAUAGCUUAACUAUGAAACUGCCAUUGAUACUGCGAGCCUUGAGUAAGGUAGAGGUAGCUGGAAUAAGUAGUGUAGCGGUGAAAUGCAUAGAUAUUACUUAGAACACCAAUUGCGAAGGCAGGUUACCAUGUCUUAACUGACGCUGAUGGACGAAAGCGUGGGGAGCGAACAGGAUUAGAUACCCUGGUAGUCCACGCCGUAAACGAUGCUAACUCGUUUUUGGGACUUCGGUUUCAGAGACUAAGCGAAAGUGAUAAGUUAGCCACCUGGGGAGUACGUUCGCAAGAA